AGUGAACGCUGGCGGUAGGCCUAACACAUGCAAGUCGAACGGCAGCACAGUAAGAGCUUGCUCUUACGGGUGGCGAGUGGCGGACGGGUGAGGAAUACAUCGGAAUCUACUUUUUCGUGGGGGAUAACGUAGGGAAACUUACGCUAAUACCGCAUACGACCUACGGGUGAAAGCAGGGGAUCUUCGGACCUUGCGCGAUUGAAUGAGCCGAUGUCGGAUUAGCUAGUUGGCGGGGUAAAGGCCCACCAAGGCGACGAUCCGUAGCUGGUCUGAGAGGAUGAUCAGCCACACUGGAACUGAGACACGGUCCAGACUCCUACGGGAGGCAGCAGUGGGGAAUAUUGGACAAUGGGCGCAAGCCUGAUCCAGCCAUACCGCGUGGGUGAAGAAGGCCUUCGGGUUGUAAGCCCUUUUGUUGGGAAAGAAAAGCAGCAGGUUAAUACCCCGCUGUUCUGACGGUACCCAAAGAAUAAGCACCGGCUAACUUCGU
Molecule: ribosomal RNA, 490 nt
Filed under: uncultured bacterium
Lineage: Bacteria
Description: partial 16S ribosomal RNA
Rfam family: Bacterial small subunit ribosomal RNA
Source: RNAcentral